RNAcentral lists this long non-coding RNA (984 nucleotides) under Triticum aestivum (bread wheat). Its description in RNAcentral is "long non-coding RNA (TAES_LNC010806)". Lineage: Eukaryota; Viridiplantae; Streptophyta; Magnoliopsida; Poales; Poaceae. The record is from RNAcentral.
ACCACAUCCGGGCUACGUGAGUUAUCACGUCUGUCAUACAUAAGUUACCGUGCCAUUUACACAAAAGUUUCGGGGGGUAUGUUUUCAACAAACUUUUAUCCCAGGGGUCAAAAAGUGAUUAUUAUGUUUGCAGCGAGUUAUCAGCUUUGUUGUGUAUAUUACCAUCUUGCACAAAGAUUAUCGAGGGUAUCUUUUUCAACAAUUUUCAUUCCCUCGGUCAAAAAAUUACCAUGAUAUUUGUAUAUGAGUUAUCAGCUCUUAUGUGUGUGUAUUAUCAGGUUGUUUACACAUUAGUUAUUGGGAAGUAUUUUUAACAAUAUUUUUCCAUGUUAUCAGCUCAUGUUAUUUAUACGAGAAGUUAUCAGUGGUAUGUUUUCAACAACAAAAAAUAAUGUCAAAAUUAUCGUGGUAUUUGUACCUAAGUUAUCAGGACCGGAGCCUAUAUUAUCAUGCUAUUUACACAAAAAGUUAUCAGAGUAUGUUUUCAAGAAGUUUUUCUCAUGGGUCAAAGUUAUCGUGGUGUUUGUACCUAAGUUAUCAGGUCCGGAAAACCUAUAUUACCAUGUUAUUUACACAGAUGUUACUGGAGUAUGUUUUCAAUAACUUUUUUCUACGGGUCAAAGUUAUCGUGGAGUUUAUACCUUAGUUAUCAAGUCUGAGAGUGUAUAUUAUCAUGUUAUUUACAAAGAAGUUAUCGGUUGUAUGUUUUCAACAAUUUUUCUCAUGGGAUCAAAGUUAUCGUUGUGUUUGUACCCAAGUUAUCAGGACCGGUAGCCGAUAUUAUCAUGCUAUUUACACACAAAAAAGUUAUCAGAGUGUUUUUUCAACAACUUUUUUUCGCGGGUCAAAAUUAUCGUGGUAUUUGUACCUAAGUUAUCAGGUCCGGGAGCCUAUAUUACCAUGUAUUUACACAGAUGUUACCGGAGUAUGUUUUCAACAAGUUUUUUCCAUGGGUGAAAGUUAUCGUGGUGUUUAUUCCUAAGU